This 239-nucleotide ribosomal RNA is filed under the name uncultured bacterium. RNAcentral's name for it is "partial 16S ribosomal RNA". It matches the Rfam family "Bacterial small subunit ribosomal RNA", at positions 95 to 334 of the family's 1533-position model. The record is from RNAcentral.
CCGGCGCACGGGUGAGUAACACGUAUCCAACCUGCCGUCUACUCUUGGACAGCCUUCUGAAAGGAAGAUUAAUACAAGAUGGCAUCAAGAGUCCGCAUGUUCACAUGAUUAAAGGUAUUCCGGUAGACGAUGGGGAUGCGUUCCAUUAGAUAGUAGGCGGGGUAACGGCCCACCUAGUCUUCGAUGGAUAGGGGUUCUGAGAGGAAGGUCCCCCACAUUGGAACUGAGACACGGUCCAA